This 475-nucleotide ribosomal RNA is filed under the name uncultured Pelotomaculum sp. RNAcentral describes it as "bacterial SSU rRNA". It matches the Rfam family "Bacterial small subunit ribosomal RNA", at positions 910 to 1382 of the family's 1533-position model. The record is from RNAcentral. Lineage: Bacteria; Bacillati; Bacillota; Clostridia; Eubacteriales; Desulfotomaculaceae.
UUGACGGGGCCCGCACAAGCGGUGGAGCAUGUGGUUUAAUUCGACGCAACGCGAAGAACCUUACCAGGGCUUGACAUCCCCUGACCGCGUAUGAAAGUACGUUUUCACCCUCGGGUGACAGGGAGACAGGUGGUGCAUGGUUGUCGUCAGCUCGUGUCGUGAGAUGUUGGGUUAAGUCCCGCAACGAGCGCAACCCCUACGUUUAGUUGCUAACGCGUGAAGGCGAGCACUCUAGACGAACUGCCGUUGACAAAACGGAGGAAGGUGGGGAUGACGUCAAAUCAUCAUGCCCCUUAUGUUCUGGGCUACACACGUGCUACAAUGGCCGGUACAGACGGACGCAAAGCCGCGAGGUGGAGCAAAUCCUAAAAAGCCGGUCUCAGUUCGGAUUGCAGGCUGCAAUUCGCCUGCAUGAAGUCGGAAUCGCUAGUAAUCGCAGGUCAGCUAUACUGCGGUGAAUACGUUCCCGGGGCUU